AAGCCUGCCAGGUGUGUUUAUGAAUAAGAUGACCGCUCCUGUAGAAGCGCAGUAUUCAUGUUAAAUGGUAUGACUUAUCAUUAGGUGCUGCAGUGGGUACCAGGCUGUGUCAUGAUAUAUCUACGGGCGCUCUGAGAGGCAACACCAUUCUCCAGCCCUGACGUAUCGUACCUUUAAACUGCCCACGCUCACCUGAGGUGUGAGGGCUGACAUGUCAGAUGUACAGAGGUUGUGUCCUGAUCGAGUCUGUCUGAUGCUCUGCCGCCUGGUGUUGAAAAGACUUAAGUGCCAGACUGCUGCUUUGCCGGGCCAUCUUGCUUUGCUUGCCUGUGCCACUUCCUCUACAUGGUCUGGCCUCACUUGAUUUGCUUUGUCGGAGCCAGUUUGUCCAUAUUGCCUGGUUUCACUGGCCUAUCUUAACUGGGACUAGACCCUAGAUUUGUGUGGAUUUCCCAUGAUUUGUAUAUUGUUUUGAUCUACUGCUAUUCAUUCAUUGGAUUCAGGAAUGUCUUUCACCUUUGUGAACCUGAACCAACUGAAAUUCAUGCUUUGUUUUGUUUCAUUUCCUUUCAGGCAGCAGAACGAGCUGUGGGGAGUACGCGUGGCUUCCACCUUGCAUGCAGUGUGGUCAUUUGCAUGUCUUGUAGUUUUGUUUCUACUUGCCAGUGUGAGUUGCGGUGUUAGCGAGCACCAGGUGAUCACGUGGUGGUAUUUAUUGGGAUGUGUGUUAAAAGCUCCCCACAGUGUGUAUGUUGUCUGAUUUUAUUUUGGAUCAUAAGUACCACUGUUAUUCCAUACUGGGGUCUGUUCCCUGUUAGCUGUUACUGUUUUAGCAUUUAUUAGAUUUGAUGAAUAAAACUUUUCUGAACAUAACCUUGUUCUCUUUUGUUCUCCAGGGCUGCAGCCACAAGUAUUA
Seriola aureovittata is the source of this 916-nucleotide long non-coding RNA. RefSeq lists it as uncharacterized. The record is from RefSeq and is a predicted model, not a curated record. The transcript has 3 exons. Lineage: Eukaryota; Metazoa; Chordata; Actinopteri; Carangiformes; Carangidae.